AUACGUAGGGUGCAAGCGUUAAUCGGAAUUACUGGGCGUAAAGCGUGCGCAGGCGGUUUUGUAAGACAGAGGUGAAAUCCCCGGGCUCAACCUGGGAACUGCCUUUGUGACUGCAAGGCUAGAGUACGGCAGAGGGGGAUGGAAUUCCGCGUGGAGCAGUGAAAUGCGUAGAUAUGCGGAGGAACACCGAUGGCGAAGGCAAUCCCCUGGGCCUGUACUGACGCUCAUGCACGAAAGCGUGGGGAGCAAACAGGAUUAGAUACCCUGGUAGUCCACGCCCUAAACGAUGUCAACUGGUUGUUGGGUCUUCAUUGACUCAGUAACGAAGCUAACGCGUGAAGUUGACCGCCUGGGGAGUACGGCCGCAAGGUUAAAACUCAAAGGAAUUGACGGGG
RNAcentral lists this ribosomal RNA (395 nucleotides) under uncultured bacterium. RNAcentral's name for it is "partial 16S ribosomal RNA". It matches the Rfam family "Bacterial small subunit ribosomal RNA", at positions 523 to 918 of the family's 1533-position model. The record is from RNAcentral.